Molecule: ribosomal RNA, 253 nt
Filed under: uncultured bacterium
Lineage: Bacteria
Description: partial 16S ribosomal RNA
Rfam family: Bacterial small subunit ribosomal RNA
Source: RNAcentral
UACGUAGGGUGCAAGCGUUAAUCGGAAUUACUGGGCGUAAAGCGUGCGCAGGCGGUUAUGCAAGACAGAGGUGAAAUCCCCGGGCUCAACCUGGGAACUGCCUUUGUGACUGCAUAGCUAGAGUACGGUAGAGGGGGAUGGAAUUCCGCGUGUAGCAGUGAAAUGCGUAGAUAUACGGAGGAACACCGAUGGCGAAGGCAAUCCCCUGGACCUGUACUGACGCUCAUGCACGAAAGCGUGGGGAGCAAACAGG